RNAcentral lists this ribosomal RNA (418 nucleotides) under uncultured bacterium. RNAcentral's name for it is "bacterial SSU rRNA". It matches the Rfam family "Bacterial small subunit ribosomal RNA", at positions 355 to 769 of the family's 1533-position model. The record is from RNAcentral.
UGAGGAAUAUUGGUCAAUGGGCGCAAGCCUGAACCAGCCAUCCCGCGUGCAGGAAGACGGCGCUCUGCGUUGUAAACUGCUUUUGCAGGGGGAGAAACUUGCGCAUGUGUAGCGCAAUUGACGGUACUUUGGGACUAAGCAUCGGCUAACUCAGUGCCAGCCGCCGCGGUCAUUAGGAGGAUGCGAGCGUUCUCUGGUUUCAUUGGGUUUAAAGGGUGCGUAGGCGGACUAUUAAGUCAGUGGUGAAAUCCUGCAGCUUAACCGCAGAACUGCCAUUGAUACUGGUAGCCUAGAGUUUGGUAGAGGUAGGCAGAAUGUGUAGUGUAGCGGUGAAAUGCGUAGAUAUUACACAGAACACCAAUGGCGUAGGCGGCUUACUGGGCCGACACUGACGCUGAGGCACGAAAGCGUGGGGAGC